AGAAAUCAACCGAGAUUCUGUGAGUAGUGGCGAGCGAAAGCGGAAGAGGCUAAACCAUAGGUAGCAAUACUUAUGGGGUUUCGGACAGCAUUUAGCAUUGAUAAUUUCUAGUUGAAACGUGUGGGAAAACGUACCGAAGAGUGUGAGAGUCACGUAAGCGAAAGAGAGAGUCAGCGAGCUGUAUCCAAAGUACCGCGGGACACGUGAAACCCCGUGGGAAGAUGGGGGGACCAUCCUCCAAGCCUAAAUACUACCUAAUGACCGAUAGCGAAUAGUACUGUGAAGGAACGGUGAAAAGAACCCCGGGAGGGGAGUGAAAAAGAACCUGAAACCCUAUGCUUACAAGCACCGAGAGCACGUCAAAGUGUGAUCGGGUACCUUUUGUAGAAUGGUCCGGCGAGUUAUUGUAUGCGGCAAGGUUAAGUGCUUAAGGCACGGAGCCGAAGCGAGAGCAAGUCUGAAUAGGGCGAAAAAGUCGUAUGCAAUAGACCCGAAACCGAGUGACCUAUCCAUGUCCAGGCUGAAGUGGAGGUAAAACUCCAUGGAGGGCCGAACACACGUCCGUUGAAAAGGCCGGUGAUGAGGUGUGGAUAGCGGAGAAAUUCCAAUCGAACUCGGAUAUAGCUGGUUCUCUCCGAAAUAGCUUUAGGGCUAGCCUCGUGAAAGAUUACUGGAGGUAAAGCACUGAAUGGGCUAGGGGUCGAAAGAUUACUGAACCCUAUCAAACUAAGAAUGCCAGAUAAUUGAUUCACGGGAGUCAGACAAUGUGAGAUAAGUCUCAUUGUCAAAAGGGAAACAGCCCAGACCCACAGCUAAGGUCCCUAAACAUUGUUAAGUGGAAAAGGAUGUGGGGUUGCAUAAACAACCAGGAUGUUGGCUUAGAAGCAGCCACUCAUUAAAAGAGUGCGUAAUAGCUCACUGGUCGAGUGACCCUGCGCCGAAAAUUCAACGGGGCUAAACAAUGUACCGAAGCUUGGGAUUCUAAAGUAAUUUAGAGUGGUAGGAGAGCGUCGAAUAAGGGGUGAAGUCAGAGCGGAAGCGCUGGUGGACUUUAUUCGAGUGAGAAUGCCGGAAUGAGUAGCGAGAAUUAUGUGAGAAUCAUAAUGGCCGAAAAUCUAAGGUUUCCUGAGGAAGGUUCGUCCGCUCAGGGUAAGCCGGGGGCUAAGGCGAGGCGGAGACGCGUAGCCGAUGCACAUACGGUUGAAAUUCCGUAGCCACCGAAAGAUUUAAGUACAGGGACGCUUUAGAAGUGAUGUUGCCGGGCGAUGGUUGACCCGGUCGUAAGGGAUCGAAAAUGAGUAGAGAAGUCAUCAUGGAAAGAGACAAGAAAAGCUGUAUGGAUAUCUUAGGUGCCCGUACCGCAAACCGACACAGGUAGAUAGGAAGAAGAUUCUAAGGCCAACGGGAGAAGGGUUGUUAAGGAACUCGGCAAGUUGACCCCGUAACUUAGGGAUAAGGGGUGCUCAAGUGAUUGAGCCGCAGAGAAUAGGCCCAGGCGACUGUUUAGCAAAAACACAGGUCUCUGCUAAAUCGAAAGAUGACGUAUAGGGGCUGACACCUGCCCGGUGCCGGAAGGUUAAGAGGAGAUGUGAGAGCAUUGAAUUGAAGCCCCGGUAAACGGCGGCCGUAACUAUAACGGUCCUAAGGUAGCGAAAUUCCUUGUCAGGUAAGUUCUGACCCGCA
RNAcentral lists this ribosomal RNA (1683 nucleotides) under metagenome. Its description in RNAcentral is "bacterial LSU rRNA". It matches the Rfam family "Bacterial large subunit ribosomal RNA", at positions 220 to 1992 of the family's 2925-position model. The record is from RNAcentral.